Molecule: long non-coding RNA, 1650 nt
Organism: Xiphophorus couchianus (Monterrey platyfish)
Lineage: Eukaryota; Metazoa; Chordata; Actinopteri; Cyprinodontiformes; Poeciliidae
Exons: 2
Source: RefSeq, a predicted model, not a curated record
UUUGUGUUUGAUAUGAUGUGAAGCACUUUGAAACGCCUUGCUGCUGAAAUGUGCUAUACAAAUAAAAUUUGAUUGAUUGAUUGAUUCUAGCCUGCUUGGCACCCCACCUUUUCAAGCCCCCCCCCCACCAACUCCCUUAAAGUUGUUGACUGGGGGGUUAAUGGUGCUUUGUUUGCAUUAGGCACUGUUAACGUUCAGAUCCUCCAGUUGUGAGAACAAGGAGUGGAUGGAAGGUGGGAGGUUGAGGCAUUUGAAGACCUGGCGCUCAUUCUGCCAGGUGGCCAUCAUCGCCUAUAUCAGAAACCACCACAUGCUACCUGCGUCAUUCAAAUAAAAUAAGAUGCUCUUCUGGAGAUAAAAGGACAAUUGACAUCAUGCAUAGCAGCAACAUUGACCAUGUGUUUCCAUUUACAAGAAGCAAGAAGAGACUUCUUAUAAGGCGAAUAUCGAAGGGUUCAGGUCAGCAAGCAAGAGUGCGGUUGAGGGCAACAGGACCAAUGAACUCAAUCUGUUUUUAAAUAUAUUUGACACACAGCCCCUGCACCUCCCACCCACACUUCCAUCAAUACCACUGCUGCUCUCCCCUCUCCCUCCUCAGUCCUUCAUCCCCAUGUGAGUCUCACCUUCAUACCUCCCUCCCUCCACUCUUCAGCCGGCCACCUCUACGGUAAACAUCACCCCUGAAGAUGUUAGAAGGCAGCUGGUGAAACUCCACCCUGGCAAGCUUGUGCCAUCCAGCUCUGUGGCGUCCUCCAGCACCUGCAGAGGGUCCCUGUGAUGUAGCAAACACCCUGCAUUGUUCCGCUGCCGAAGACACAGCGUCCUUGUGACUCCAAGGAUUACAUCCUGGAGAGAUUCGUCCUGGAGCAGCUCCGGCCUCUGGUCCAACCACAUCCUUGCAGUUUGCCUACCAGCUCAAGCUUGAAACUGCAUUCAACACCAUCUGUCCGGCUCUAAUGGGUGAGAAGCUGACGGUGAGGCAGGUGGAUCCUCUCCUUGUGUCCUGGAUUGUGGACCAUCUGACCGGCAGACCACAGUUUGUGCGCUUGCGACACUGUGUGUCAGAGAGUGUUGUCAGUAACACAGGGACUCCACAAGGGAACCUUCAACCUCUAUACACCCAACUUCAGCUAUUGCACUGAGUCCGCCUGUCGUCAAUCUGUCCAAUGCAUAAAUAAGUAAUAAAAUCAGUAAUAAACAGUAAUCACCCAUUGAACUGUUACAAAAGAACAUGCACAUAUUCAAUGUACUACUAAUGCCCGGUGCUAUACCUUUGCAUACUGCCGGCUGUUCUAAUAAAACAUUAAGCUAAAAAGGAAGCAAGCUUGUUUCUGAAGAUACAAAGAAUUAAAUAACAAACAUGUACCAUACAGAACACUAUAUAUUGGCAAGUCAGUACCAUUUUAUUAUAAACCCCCUUUUAUAUGAUAAAUACAUUGUAAAUAACUAGUAAUAAAUAGUAAUUAACCAGUAGAUAGCCAUUAAUUAAGCUUUAAACAGUAUUCAUAUUUAAGCAGUAACAGUGAAUUACUCAAAAGUAGAGGCAGUAUGUUGCUCUAAUAGCUGCUUUACAAAUACUUGAGUGUCAAUAAGUGUACAGUCUAAUACCAGGGUUACUAAGUAAAGUAUUUUCUCAUUUCCAAACAAAAU